AGCUUUGCGCAGUGGCAGUAUCAUAGCCAAUGAGGUUUAUCCGAGGCGCGAUUAUUGCUAAUUGAAUACGUCGCGUUUUCUUACGCGGUCACCUGUGGAUGGACGUGGGGCUACCUUCUGACUGCCGUGAGCGCGG
The sequence is a small nuclear RNA, 136 nucleotides long. Its record names the gene U4. It matches the Rfam family "U4 spliceosomal RNA". Rfam says of the family: U4 small nuclear RNA (U4 snRNA) is a component of the major U2-dependent spliceosome. The record is from Ensembl.